This 340-nucleotide non-coding RNA is filed under the name Desulfosporosinus sp. Its description in RNAcentral is "T-box sequence". It matches the Rfam family "T-box leader". Rfam says of the family: Uncharged tRNA acts as the effector for transcription antitermination of genes in the T-box leader family. T-boxes are found upstream of many aminoacyl-tRNA synthetase genes and some amino acid biosynthetic genes usually in Gram-positive bacteria. The record is from RNAcentral. Lineage: Bacteria; Bacillati; Bacillota; Clostridia; Eubacteriales; Desulfitobacteriaceae.
AAAAUGACGAUGAGAGGAAAUAGUACAGUCCCGUUUUCCGUUUUAGAGAGCUGCCGGUUGGUGAAAGGCAGUAACGGAAUAGGAUUGGAACUCUUCCUCGAGUAGCCGACCGAAAUUGAUUAAAGUAGGCUCGGACGGAGCUUCCGCCGUUAAAAGGAAGGCGAUAUCGGAUAACUCGAAGAUCGUUGUUCGAUGUUAGCAGUUCGAUCCAUGAAGGUCAUAUUUCGGAUCGAACCACGAAUCACGAACCACGAAUAUCGAUUAACUCCCGUAUCUGCAGAGAAGACGGCUGUUUGCUGUCAACUUGAGUGGUACCGCGAACUAACCCUUCGUCUCAAUC